RNAcentral lists this ribosomal RNA (530 nucleotides) under Pygmorhynchus pygmaeus. RNAcentral describes it as "SSU rRNA". It matches the Rfam family "Eukaryotic small subunit ribosomal RNA", at positions 78 to 604 of the family's 1831-position model. Lineage: Eukaryota; Metazoa; Platyhelminthes; Rhabdocoela; Polycystididae. The record is from RNAcentral.
AUGGUGAAACCGCGAAUGGCUCAUUAAAUCAGCUAUUGUUCCUUAGAUCUUACAUGGUUACUUGGAUAACUGUAGUAAUUCUAGAGCUAAUACAUGCCAUUAUAUCUUGUCCUUCGGGAAAAGAUGGAUUUAUUAGAUCAAAAUCAACCAGAGCUUGCUCUGUACAUUUGAUGAUUCUGGAUAACUUCACUGAUCGCAUGGCCUUGCGCUAGCGACGUAUCUUUCAAGUGUCUGCCCUAUCAACUAUCGAUGGUAGGUUAUAUGCCUACCAUGGUUAUGACGGGUAACGGGGAAUCAGGGUUCGAUUCCGGAGAGGGAGCCUUAGAAAUGGCUACCACAUCUAAGGAAGGCAGCAGGCGCGCAAAUUACCCACUCUCAGAUCGAGGAGGUAGUGACGAAAAAUAACGAUGUAGGACUCUUACGAGGCUCUACAAUUGGAAUGAGAACAAUUUAAAUCCUUUAACGAGGAACUAUUAGAGGGCAAGUCUGGUGCCAGCAGCCGCGGUAACUCCAGCUCCAAUAGCAUAUAU